GGGGGCAAGCGUUGUUCGGAAUUACUGGGCGUAAAGGGCUCGUAGGUGGCCAACUAAGUCGGACGUGAAAUCCCUCAGCUUAACUGGGGAACUGCGUCCGAUACUGGAUGGCUUGAGUUUGGGAGAGGGAUGCGGAAUUCCAGGUGUAGCGGUGAAAUGCGUAGAUAUCUGGAGGAACACCGGUGGCGAAGGCGGCAUCCUGGACCAACACUGACACUGAGGAGCGAAAGCGUGGGGAGCAAACAGG
This 247-nucleotide ribosomal RNA is filed under the name uncultured bacterium. Its description in RNAcentral is "partial 16S ribosomal RNA". It matches the Rfam family "Bacterial small subunit ribosomal RNA", at positions 530 to 776 of the family's 1533-position model. The record is from RNAcentral.